RNAcentral lists this ribosomal RNA (253 nucleotides) under uncultured bacterium. RNAcentral describes it as "partial 16S ribosomal RNA". It matches the Rfam family "Bacterial small subunit ribosomal RNA", at positions 524 to 776 of the family's 1533-position model. The record is from RNAcentral.
UACGGAGGGUGCAAGCAUUGAUCGGAAUUACUGGGCGUAAAGGGCGCGUAGGCGGUAGGAUAAGUCGGAUGUGAAAUUCCGGGGCUCAACCCCGGAGCUGCAUUUGAAACUAUCUUUCUAGAGUUCAGUUAGGGUAAACGGAAUUCCACGUGUAGCGGUGAAAUGCGUAGAUAUGUGGAAGAACACCGGUGGUGAAGACGGUUUACUGGGCUGAUACUGACGCUGAGGCGCGAAAGCAUGGGGAGCAAACAGG